RNAcentral lists this ribosomal RNA (468 nucleotides) under uncultured bacterium. RNAcentral's name for it is "partial 16S ribosomal RNA". It matches the Rfam family "Bacterial small subunit ribosomal RNA", at positions 28 to 507 of the family's 1533-position model. The record is from RNAcentral.
GACGAACGCUGGCGGCGUGCUUAACACAUGCAAGUCGAACGGAAAGGCCCUGCUUUUGUGGGGUGCUCGAGUGGCGAACGGGUGAGUAACACGUGAGUAACCUGCCCUUGACUUUGGGAUAACUUCAGGAAACUGGGGCUAAUACCGGAUAGGAGCUCCUGCUGCAUGGUGGGGGUUGGAAAGUUUCGGCGGUUGGGGAUGGACUCGCGGCUUAUCAGCUUGUUGGUGGGGUAGUGGCUUACCAAGGCUUUGACGGGUAGCCGGCCUGAGAGUGUGACCGGCCACAUUGGGACUGCGAUACGGCCCAGACUCCUACGGGAGGCAGCAGUGGGGAAUAUUGCACAAUGGGCGGAAGCCUGAUGCAGCAACGCCGCGUGCGGGAUGACGGCCUUCGGGUUGUAAACCGCUUUCGCCUGUGACGAAGCGUGAGUGACGGUAAUGGGUAAAGAAGCACCGGCUAACUACGUG